Molecule: ribosomal RNA, 1560 nt
Filed under: Cyanidiococcus yangmingshanensis
Lineage: Eukaryota; Rhodophyta; Bangiophyceae; Cyanidiales; Cyanidiaceae
Also listed under: 1 other name
Description: SSU rRNA
Rfam family: Bacterial small subunit ribosomal RNA
Source: RNAcentral
AGAAGUUAAUGUAUAUAAAUUUUAUAAAAUUAUUUAAUGAGUUUGAUCCUGGCUCAGAAUGAACGCUAGUGGUUUGUUUUAAGACAUGCAAGUCAAACAAGUAUCAUAUUUUGUAACUUGUGGCGAACGGGUGCUUAAUAUAUAAGAAUUUACCCAAUUGUUUAGGUAAAUCCUAAAUAAUAUUACAUAAAGAUUAAUUGCAAUUGGAUAGGCUUAUAUAGGAUUAGGUUGUUGGUGGUAAAAAGACUACCAAGCCGAUGAUCCUUAGCUGGUCUUAGAGGAUGGUCAGCCACAUUGGGACUGAGACAAGGCCCAAACUCCAUAAGGAGGCAGCAGUCGAGAAUAUUAGGCAAUGAGCGAAAGCUUGACCUAGCAAAACCACGUGUGUGAUGAAGGCCUUUUGGUUGUAAAGCACUUUUGUUAGAGAUAAUAAUGAUAGUAUCUAAAAAAAAAGUCCUGGCAAAUUCCGUGCCAGCAGCCGCGGUAAUACGGAUAGGGCUAGCGUUAUUCGGAAUCACUGGGUGUAAAGGGUGCGUAGAUGGGUUGAAAUCACUAUAACAGAAAAAAUAGUGCCUAACACUGUUAAAAUGUUUUAGUAUUUUCUACCUAGAGUUUAAAGGACGGUUAUAGAAUUUUGGGUGUAACAAUAAAAUGUUUAAAUAUCUAAAGGAAUCCCAUCUGUGAAGACGUUAAUCGAAUUUAUAACUGACAUUGAGGCACGAAAGUGUGGGGAGCAAAAAGGAUUAGAGACCCUUGUAGUCCACACCCUAAACGAUGAAUGUUAAGUCCUGGUCCAAAUAGUAUAGAUCAGGGGAUUAAAGCUAACGUAUUAAACAUUCCACCUGGGAAGUACUAUCGCAAGGUAGAAACUCAAAGGAAUUGACGGGAACUUGCACAAGCGGUGGAGCAUGUAGCUUAAUUCGAUGUUACACGAAAAAUCUUACCAAUUCUUGUCAUUUUAAUAAAAUCAUUAAUUAUAAUGAUUUUAUAUAUUUAAACAGGUGCUGCAUGGCUGUCGUCAGCUCGUGCUGUGAAGUGUCUGGUUCAUUCCAAUAAACGAGCGUAACUCUCAUAACUUACAUUUAGAAUAAAAAAAUUUGUAAGUUAAACUAUUAACGAUAUGUUAAAGGAAGCGAGAAUGACGUCAAGUCCUCAUGGCCCUUAUGAAUUGGGCUGCAUACGUGCUACAAUGGUUUAAUACAAAAAUAUUUUUAUUAUGUAAUUAGUGAAAAUUUUUCAAAAUAAACCUUAGUUCGGAUUAUUCUAUGUAAUUAGAGAAUAUGAAGUUGGAAUCGCUAGUAAUCGCAGAAAAGAAUGCUGCGGUGAAUAAGUACCCAAGUUCUGUACACACUGCCCGUCACGCUAUGGGAAUUAAUCCUGUUGGAAAAGAAGCAUAUAUUUAUAAUUUAUCUUUAUUAGUAUACUGUUAAAAUAAUGUUUUAAUAAAGAUAAAUUAUAAGUUAUGAUCUUGAUAACAAGAUUGAGGACUGGAGUGAAGUCGUAACAAGGUAGCUGUAGGGGAACCUGUGGCUGAAGUGUUUUAAUUUUUUUAUAAUUCUU